UCUUUCUUUGCUGGCGACCGGCGCACGGGUGAGUAACACGUAUCCAACCUGCCCUUUACUCGGGGAUAGCCUUUCGAGAGAAAGAUUAAUACCCGAUAGCAUAAUGAUUCCGCAUGGUUUCAUUAUUAAAGGAUUCCGGUAAAGGAUGGGGAUGCGUUCCAUUAGGUUGUUGGUGGGGUAACGGCCCACCAAGCCUUCGAUGGAUAGGGGUUCUGAGAGGAAGGUCCCCCACAUUGGAACUGAGACACGGUCCAA
This 255-nucleotide ribosomal RNA is filed under the name uncultured bacterium. RNAcentral's name for it is "partial 16S ribosomal RNA". It matches the Rfam family "Bacterial small subunit ribosomal RNA", at positions 78 to 334 of the family's 1533-position model. The record is from RNAcentral.